This 762-nucleotide ribosomal RNA is filed under the name Triticum aestivum (bread wheat). RNAcentral's name for it is "partial small subunit ribosomal RNA". The record is from RNAcentral. Lineage: Eukaryota; Viridiplantae; Streptophyta; Magnoliopsida; Poales; Poaceae.
AUGGCAUCAACAGGGCACACAAGUGAUAUUAUUUGUCGUCGUUGUAAGGGAGGAGGUCAUUAUGCGAGAGAAUGCAAAUCUCCGCGUGUGAUGAUUGCUACCGCGGAUGGUGGAUAUGAGUCUGCUAGUGACUAUGAUGAGGAGACUUUGGCUCUUAUUACACGUGAAGAACAUGGUGGAGAUGAUUCUGAUCAUGAGACGCAAUACAUGGCUCCUGAAGACGCUGACAGGUAUGAAUGUUUAGUUGCUCAACGUGUUUUGAGUGUGCAGAUCACACAAGCUGAGCAAAAUCAGAGGCACAAUUUGUUCCAUACCAAGGGAGUUGUGAAGGAACGUUCUGUGCGCGUCAUCAUAGACGAAGGGAGCUGCAACAACUUGGCUAGCAUGGAGAUGGUGGAGAAGCUUUCUCUCACCACAAGACCACAUCCACAUCCUUACUACAUCCAAUGGUUCAACAACAGCGGCAAGGUUAAGGUAACACGUACUGUUCGUGUGCAUUUUAGUAUCUCUACAUAUGCUGAUUAUGUUGAUUGUGAUGUGGUACCUAUGCAAGCAUGUUCCUUAUUACUUGGUAGACCAUGGCAAUUUGAUAAAAAUUCUGUACACCAUGGUAGAAACAAUCACUAUACUCUUGUUCAUAAGGAUAAAAAUAUUACUUUGCUUCCUAUGACUCCUGAUUCCAUUUUGAAAGAUGAUAUUAAUAGAGCUAAUAAAGCAAAACAGGAGACGAAUAAGGGUGAAAAUCAGAUUGUGGCAAAAUAA